Molecule: ribosomal RNA, 864 nt
Filed under: Staphylococcus aureus
Lineage: Bacteria; Bacillati; Bacillota; Bacilli; Caryophanales; Staphylococcaceae
Description: bacterial SSU rRNA
Rfam family: Bacterial small subunit ribosomal RNA
Source: RNAcentral
AGGAUGAACGCUGGCGGCGUGCCUAAUACAUGCAAGUCGAGCGAACGGACGAGAAGCUUGCUUCUCUGAUGUUAGCGGCGGACGGGUGAGUAACACGUGGAUAACCUACCUAUAAGACUGGGAUAACUUCGGGAAACCGGAGCUAAUACCGGAUAAUAUUUUGAACCGCAUGGUUCAAAAGUGAAAGACGGUCUUGCUGUCACUUAUAGAUGGAUCCGCGCUGCAUUAGCUAGUUGGUAAGGUAACGGCUUACCAAGGCAACGAUGCAUAGCCGACCUGAGAGGGUGAUCGGCCACACUGGAACUGAGACACGGUCCAGACUCCUACGGGAGGCAGCAGUAGGGAAUCUUCCGCAAUGGGCGAAAGCCUGACGGAGCAACGCCGCGUGAGUGAUGAAGGUCUUCGGAUCGUAAAACUCUGUUAUUAGGGAAGAACAUAUGUGUAAGUAACUGUGCACAUCUUGACGGUACCUAAUCAGAAAGCCACGGCUAACUACGUGCCAGCAGCCGCGGUAAUACGUAGGUGGCAAGCGUUAUCCGGAAUUAUUGGGCGUAAAGCGCGCGUAGGCGGUUUUUUAAGUCUGAUGUGAAAGCCCACGGCUCAACCGUGGAGGGUCAUUGGAAACUGGAAAACUUGAGUGCAGAAGAGGAAAGUGGAAUUCCAUGUGUAGCGGUGAAAUGCGCAGAGAUAUGGAGGAACACCAGUGGCGAAGGCGACUUUCUGGUCUGUAACUGACGCUGAUGUGCGAAAGCGUGGGGAUCAAACAGGAUUAGAUACCCUGGUAGUCCACGCCGUAAACGAUGAGUGCUAAGUGUUAGGGGGUUUCCGCCCCUUAGUGCUGCAGCUAACGCAUUAAGCACUCCG